GACGAACGCUGGCGGCGUGCUUAACACAUGCAAGUCGAACGGAAAGGCCCUGCUUUUGUGGGGUUCUCGUUUGGCGAACGGGUGAGUAACACGUGUGUAACCUGCCCUUGUCUUUGUGAUAACUUCUGGAAACUGGGGCUAUUACCGCAUAGGAGCUCCUGCUGCAUGGUGGGGGUUGGAAAGUUUCGGCGGUUGGGGAUCGACUCGCUGCUUAUCAGCUUGUUUGUGAGGUAGUUGCUUACCAAGGCUUUGACGGGUAGCCGGCCUGGGAGGGUGACCGGCCACAAUGGGACUGAGAUAGGGCGCAGAAUGCAACGGGAGGCAGCAGUGGGGAAUAUUGCACAAUGGGCGGAAGCGUGAUGCAGAAACGCCGCGUGCGGGAUGACGGCCUUCGGGUUGUAAACAGAUUUCGACUGUGACGAAGCGUGAGUGACGGUAAUGGGUAAAGAAGCACCGGCUAACUACGUG
RNAcentral lists this ribosomal RNA (468 nucleotides) under uncultured bacterium. RNAcentral's name for it is "partial 16S ribosomal RNA". It matches the Rfam family "Bacterial small subunit ribosomal RNA", at positions 28 to 507 of the family's 1533-position model. The record is from RNAcentral.